CUGGUAGUUCUCUCUUAGUCCCUUUACCUCCUCUUCUACCGCUUGAGUGCGCGUGGACACGGCGUGCACGUCUAGUUUAAGCACUGCCAGGUCCGCUUCCCACAUUUGUCUUAAGUUCUGUUGCAGGCCUGUCAGCAUAGCCUGUAUAUCUUGUUUGGAGGCCGGUGCGCUGGCUUCUGGCAUCCACGUGUGUGUGGGGUGUUGAGGAUUGAGGUGUGGGCUAUCUAGCGAUU
Molecule: non-coding RNA, 233 nt
Organism: Pelobates cultripes (western spadefoot toad)
Lineage: Eukaryota; Metazoa; Chordata; Amphibia; Anura; Pelobatidae
Source: the annotation of a GenBank genome assembly